CAAUGGUUCUGGCGCAUUGUUGGUUAUUUUCUAAUAAAUGACGUAGGACAUAAACUGUGAAUGCGCCACGAGGGAAAGACGAAGUACUGAAGAUGAAGUCGGGCCCCCAGGCACAAAUAUCGGCUGAUGACUGGAAACGCCGCCGCUUUUCACCCUGCAAACGGCAAACAACAAGUGUGCCGGGGAUGAGGAAAAUCACAACGCAGAAAGCGUCCCCUAACAGAACAUCUUGUGGAAUAGGCUAACGUUAUUGGUGAGUCAUUGAGGCGAUCAUUUGUGUGUCUGUAGAAGAACGAUAUAUUUUCAGGAUGAGUUUUUGCUAAAUGCAAACUGCACUGUAUAAUCAUUGACUUAUUCUUUUUAUUCAUGGAAAUCAUAGCUUUUUUAUUGGAAUGAGGUUGGGUAAGUUGCAUUAGCAUUCAGGAGACAAUCAUAAACGUUUAGGCAAAUGGAUUGUUACAGGAUGCUAAAGGUAAAUCUCGUGGUCAUGUGACACUGUCCCCAAAAAUGAACAUUGAGACGAAGCCACGGCACGUUGCGUUGAUUCACGGAGCAUGGUCGCCUGGCGGAAUGCUGCGCUUGGCAGCUGUCUGCGGUAUUACAGCUAACACGUGCCACUGUAGUUGUGGCAACAUGCCUCGCAAAUGUGCUGGGUUGCUAAAGCAUCUGGAUCUACAGCUGGAAUAGCCAGGCAGAGGCAGGUUGAAAGACAUUGAACCACCCCUGCCAGGAAAUGACAUCACGAUGCAGGUGAUGGAUAAUAUUCCUGGACCCUGAGGGUAUUUCACAAAGCAGGUCAGGUGAGGUGUUCCUAACUUAUCCGUGUUCGUCUACGUAGAUAGUCGGCUUCAGGCUUGUUCAGCUUUACAAGAACGGAGCUCGACUUCUGUUGUCCUGCUCCUGCGCGUCAGACUCAAACAGAACAUGUGAGGUGGUUCAUCCAUUAGCACGUGUUAAAUGAACACGCAUCCAGUGUGUGUGAAGAUGAAUUAUGUAGCUUUAGCGAUAAUGCUGUCAAGAGGAGUCCAUAAUGAUGCCGUGACCCAGUGCUGCCCUUAGAGCAUGGGGGGAAGAGACACCUGGAAACCAAUCACCGAUAAACCAAAAGCAAAGAAUCAUUACAUAGUGCAAGGAACUAAUGAGAGAUGAGAAGCUUAACCUUGGCACGGCAGGGAUCAGCUCGUAAUGGAUAGGAUCCCAGAGGAGCAUCUCUUCCGAGGAGGCUUUAGGCCCUUAGAUAGAGGUGGAAUACAUUUCCAUCUGUGCAUGAGCUGGGAAAUGGACCUGAGCUUUAACGUGGGAUGGUCCCUUCCAGGGGAGCAUGAGAAGUGUUUGGCUAACAGGACACGGAAAAGGCUUCCAAAGUAUCCAAAAAAAGCACAGAGCACCUCACUGUGAAGCCAUUCGCCCCAUUGUUAUUAUUAUCUUUGUUGUUGUGACAUUUUUAAUAAAGCAGAUGCUUCUAUCCAAAGUGACAUAUUUUUGAGAAAAAUGGGUCAGACAGUCCCUGGAGCAAUUGGCGGUUAAGGCCCUUGGUCAAGGGCCCAAAAGUGAUACCACUCAAGUGUAGGAUUGUAACCUGCAACCUUCCGCUCAGAGGCACA
This is a non-coding RNA of Paramormyrops kingsleyae, 1604 nucleotides long. Lineage: Eukaryota; Metazoa; Chordata; Actinopteri; Osteoglossiformes; Mormyridae. The record is from RefSeq and is a predicted model, not a curated record.